Molecule: long non-coding RNA, 2120 nt
Filed under: Ananas comosus (pineapple)
Lineage: Eukaryota; Viridiplantae; Streptophyta; Magnoliopsida; Poales; Bromeliaceae
Description: long non-coding RNA (ACOM_LNC033976)
Source: RNAcentral
CCCAGUCCAAAACCCAUUUGGGCCCACUAUCUAAGCCCAUUAUCCAAAACUCAUUAAAACCAUUAACCCAUAAACUCAUAUACAUAAACCUAUAUACAUUUACCCAUGAACCCAUACACAUUUAACCCAUAUCCAAGCCCAUAACCUUAACCAAGUCCGUGAACUUUGAACCAAAACCAUGGACCAAACCAUACACCAAAUCCUGUGGACCAUACCAUACACCAAAUCCACAAACUAUGAAUCAAGUUCAUGAAUCAAAUCAAGUUCAUAAGUCCAUGAACCAUAAACCCAUGAGCCAUAAGUCCAUGAACCAUAAGUCCAUGAACCAUAAACCCAUGAACCAUAUCUAAGUUCAUGAACCAUAAUCCCAUAUACCCAAUACCAUAAACCUUGUGAACCAAACCCAAACCUAAAUUUGAUAUCGACCGAAACGUCGUUAAACUAAUCCACCAAAUCAACCGACCGAAACGUCGUUAAACUAAACCUAAAUCCGAUAUCGACCGAAANUAUAUGAAUCUGAAUUUGGACCUUUCAUACGGGCCCAUAUUGAACCCAAAUCCACAUCAAAAUAAAUCCGAGCCCAAUCCAGAUUGAGCCCAAAUCAAACCCACGGCCCAAAGCCCAAUCCAGAUUGAGCCCAAUUCAAAUCCACGGCCCAAAGCCCAAUCCCAUUGGGCCCAAUUCCAGUCCAAGGCCCAAGCCCAAGUACAAACCUCAAACCCAAAAUAUGCCCAAAUACCAUUCAAAUCCAAAACUCAAAACAAUAUCCAAUCCAAAUCCCAAAUUUCAUAUUCAAAUCAACCCAAAUCCCAUCUUUAAAUCAACCCAAAAUCCAAAUUCUCAUAAGCCCAAAAUGAGCCCAAAAUCCACAUAUGAACUGAGCCCAUUUUGAGCCCAAAAUCCACAUAUGAAUUGAGCCCAAAUCCUAUACCGGAUCCAAAUCCAAAAUAAAUCAAACCCAAAUUGAACCUAUUUAUCCAUAUCAAAUCCAAAUUGAGCCAGCUUUGAGCCCAAUUACCAUAUCAAAUCCAGACUGAGCCCACUUUGAGCCCAAUUCUCAUAUAAAACCCAAAUUUCCAUAUCAAAUCCAAAUUGAGCUCAUUUUAAGCUCAAUUUCCAUAUGAAACUCAAAUUCCCAUUUUGAGCCCAUUUUAAGCUCAAUUCCUAAGUCCAAAUCCAAAAUGAACCCAUAUUGAGCCCGAGUCUAAAUUCAAAAUGAUUUGGCCCAUUUUGAACCCAAAUCCAAAUUAAGCCCAUUUUGAGCCCAAAUCGAAAUCCCCAUAUCAAAUCCAAAUUAAGCUCCAAAUCUAAAUUGAGCCCAUAUUACAUCCAAGUCCAAAUCCUCAUGAAGUCCAGAGCCCAUUUACAAAUGGCCCCAGUCCGGAACCCAUUUGGGCCCACUACCUAAACCCAUUAUCUAAAACUCAUUAAAACCAUUAACCCAUAAACCCAUAUACAUAAACCUAUAUACAUUUACCCAUGAACCCAUACACAUUUAACCCAUACACCAAACCCAUGAACCAUAAGUCCAUGGAUCAUAAACCACAAACCAUACACCAAAUUCAUGAACCAUAAACUCAUGAACCAUAAGUCCAUAAACCAUAAACUCAUAAACCAUAAACCCAUGAACCAUAAACCCAUGAACCAUAAGUUCAUGAACCAUAAACCCAUGAACCAUAUCUAAGUUCAUGAACCAUAAUCCCAUAUACCCAAUACCAUAAACCUUGUGAACCAAAAUAAAUCAAUCGACCGAAACGUCGUUAAACUAAUCCACCAAAUCAACCGACCGAAACGUCGUUAAACUAAUCCACCAAAUCAAACGACCGAAACGUCGCUAAACUACAAAGGACAUGCGACUAGCCCUAGCACAUAUAUACUUAGAGUUCAUCCGACUAGCCCUAGCACAUAUACCUAGGGUCUAGUCAGCCUUUUGCUCUAGCACAUAUACCUAGAGUGAAAUCCUUACCCGAUCGAGCUCUAAUACAUAUACUUAGAGUUCAUAUGAAUCAAAUCCGACUACCCCUAAUAUAUAUACUUAGGGCUUAGUCAGAUCUUCACUCUAGCACAUAUAACUAGAGUGAAAACAUAUUAAACUCGGUUAAUCCUGAUACAUAUACUCA